This 568-nucleotide ribosomal RNA is filed under the name uncultured bacterium. Its description in RNAcentral is "bacterial SSU rRNA". It matches the Rfam family "Bacterial small subunit ribosomal RNA", at positions 202 to 772 of the family's 1533-position model. The record is from RNAcentral.
AAAAACUGAGGUGGUAUACGAUGGUUCCGCGUCUGAUUAGCUAGUUGGUGGGGUAAAAGCCUACCAAGGCAACGAUCAGUAGCCGGCCUGAGAGGGUGAACGGCCACAUUGGGACUGAGACACGGCCCAAACUCCUACGGGAGGCAGCAGUGGGGAAUAUUGCACAAUGGGGGAAACCCUGAUGCAGCGACGCCGCGUGAGUGAAGAAGUAUUUCGGUAUGUAAAGCUCUAUCAGCAGGGAAGAAAUACUGACCAUAGGGUCAGCAGACGGUACUUGACUAAGAAGCCCCGGCUAACUACGUGCCAGCAGCCGCGGUAAUACGUAGGGGGCAAGCGUUAUCCGGAUUUACUGGGUGUAAAGGGAGCGUAGACGGCAGCGCAAGUCUGAAGUGAAAUGCCAGGGCUUAACCCUGGAACUGCUUUGGAAACUGUGCAGCUAGAGUGCAGGAGAGGUAAGUGGAAUUUCUAGUGUAGCGGUGAAAUGCGUAGAUAUUAGGAGGAACACCAGUGGCGAAGGCGGCUUACUGGACUGUAACUGACGUUGAGGCUCGAAAGCGUGGGGAGCAAA